RNAcentral lists this small RNA (27 nucleotides) under Bombyx mori (domestic silkworm). RNAcentral describes it as "ovarian small RNA-23547". The record is from RNAcentral. Lineage: Eukaryota; Metazoa; Arthropoda; Insecta; Lepidoptera; Bombycidae.
UAUCAUCUCUGUGCAGCACGGUGUGAA